Molecule: regulatory RNA element, 83 nt
Organism: Marinobacter antarcticus
Lineage: Bacteria; Pseudomonadati; Pseudomonadota; Gammaproteobacteria; Pseudomonadales; Marinobacteraceae
Rfam family: c-di-GMP-I riboswitch aptamer
About the family: GEMM was predicted in a large-scale screen for bacterial structured RNA regulatory elements. Genes associated with GEMM are involved in a diverse array of functions, including chemotaxis regulation, signal transduction, secretion and chitin.
Source: Rfam
CCGGUCGUAUGCCAAACCACUUGCGAGGGUGGGACGGAAAGCCAAGGAUCUCUAAAAUAAUAAGAGACAGCCUGGUUGCAAAG